This 200-nucleotide unclassified non-coding RNA is filed under the name soil metagenome. RNAcentral describes it as "partial contains internal transcribed spacer 2 and large subunit ribosomal RNA". The record is from RNAcentral.
UUGCGCUGCUCACCUUAAAAGGAUUAGCUGGACAUGUCGUAAGAUUGGUUCUACUUGGCGUAAUAAGUAUUUCGCUGAGGACAUCCCUUCUGGGGUGGCCAAGACUCUCAACAAAGGUCUGCUUUCUAACCCGACUGUCUUCGGACAUCACUUUUUUAUGAUCUGGCCUCAAAUCAGGUAGGACUACCCGCUGAACUUAA